Phrynosoma platyrhinos (Desert horned lizard) is the source of this 71-nucleotide non-coding RNA. The record is from the annotation of a GenBank genome assembly. NCBI's taxonomy places the organism in Eukaryota, Metazoa, Chordata, Lepidosauria, Squamata, Phrynosomatidae.
GCCAGCGUGGCAGAGUGGUUUGAGCUUUGGACUAUGACUUUGGAGAUCAAGGUUCGAAUCCAGGCUUGGCC